RNAcentral lists this small RNA (83 nucleotides) under Buttiauxella sp. JUb87. RNAcentral's name for it is "CyaR/Rye RNA". It matches the Rfam family "CyaR/Rye RNA". Rfam says of the family: This sRNA was originally identified in a large scale screen of E. coli. It was shown to bind Hfq and called RyeE. Lineage: Bacteria; Pseudomonadati; Pseudomonadota; Gammaproteobacteria; Enterobacterales; Enterobacteriaceae. The record is from RNAcentral.
CGCAUCUACAAUUUGAAGUAUGAUGGGUAUGUACCAGGAACCACCUCAUUGGCCUGUGCAAUCUCCCUUGCGCAGGCCUUCUU